AGUGAACGCUGGCGGUAGGCCUAACACAUACAAGUCGAACGGCAGCACAGUAAGAGCUUGCUCUUACGGGUGGCGAGUGGCGGACGGGUGAGGAAUACAUCGGAAUCUACUUUUUCGUGGGGGAUAACGUAGGGAAACUUACGCUAAUACCGCAUACGACCUACGGGUGAAAGCAGGGGAUCUUCGGACCUUGCGCGAUUGAAUGAGCCGAUGUCGGAUUAGCUAGUUGGCGGGGUAAAGGCCCACCAAGGCGACGAUCCGUAGCUGGUCUGAGAGGAUGAUCAGCCACACUGGAACUGAGACACGGUCCAGACUCCUACGGGAGGCAGCAGUGGGGAAUAUUGGACAAUGGGCGAAAGCCUGAUCCAGCCAUACCGCGUGGGUGAAGAAGGCCUUCGGGUUGUAAAGCCCUUUUGUUGGGAAAGAAAAGCAGCAGGUUAAUACCCCGCUGUUCUGACGGUACCCAAAGAAUAAGCACCGGCUAACUUCGUG
This 492-nucleotide ribosomal RNA is filed under the name uncultured bacterium. Its description in RNAcentral is "partial 16S ribosomal RNA". It matches the Rfam family "Bacterial small subunit ribosomal RNA", at positions 29 to 507 of the family's 1533-position model. The record is from RNAcentral.